GAUGUGGUGAAAACAGGAAAGAGGGCAGAAGUUAGAGAUUCCUUAUGUUUGGCUUAUAGUGAGUACUAGGUUGAUGAUUUUUGACUUUGUCUUCUUGAUUGAUGGUUCAUCAAACACCAGCAAUAAGGAGCAAGAGAGAACAACAUAGUUGAAAGGGAAACAAUGGAAAGACAAGGGCACGUGAUGCAGUAAAGUAUGUAAGCGGAGAGGACGUGUACAGGAAUCACCCUAGCAAGAUACAGGCUGCAGAGGGGACAUCCAUGAAGAUAAGCAACUUUGACAAAGGGCAAAUGAUUAUUAACGCAGAGCCUGUGAACGAGUAUCUUGAAGGUGUCAAAGCCGGUUGAAUGUCAACAUGCUACUGUGUGAGCAUCUAGGGAAAGAGGUAAAGACAGCUGUGGAGGUAUGGCUGUAGAGAGUGCUAUCAAAACUUUAAUAAAAGUCUUAAAAGUGAAUGGUUAUCUGAAACAAGACAUCAAAACAACAUGAAUAAAGCAGCGAGUGUCAUUAGAAUAUUAUUUUCCAUGAAUGAAAGACAUGCUAAAUUACAAUACCCAAAGGAAAUAACGUAUCACGGAGUGAGGUUAGGGAAUGCCAAAUGAACAUAGCACAUAAGGAAGAAGACAGCCACCACAUUGACAAGUGGAACAUGUGAAGGAUAAAAUCAAAGACCAGGUAGAACCCCUGGCAUACCUUUUCAACAAAUGCUUCAAGAACAACUCUGUCCCAGAACAAUGAAGGGAGACACAACUGUGUUCUGCAAAGGCAGGAAAGUUGACCCAAACUCCUCUAUAGGAAUUACUCUGGUGAGUGUCAUGUUUAAACUCUUCUCUAAACUCCUAAUGACAGUGCAUUGAUACUUGUGUUAGAGCUCAGCUGUGACAUAUAGAAUGCAACUAAUAUGGAUAUACCUGAGGGUGAAAAACAUCAAGAAACCAGAUAAUGUUAAUUUCACAAGAAAUAGCUACACCUAUGUAGUGUGUAGGAAUCUUUCAUCAUAGAAGAUACUGGACAAUGGUUCAAUUUUCCAGAGAGGCAAGCAUGCAAAACAGACCUCAAGGAGGGACAGAACAAUGCAAGGGAGGUAUUGAAGGAAACUGUGGAAACAAAUGCGAGGAAUUCAGGUACCUGGAAAGGACCGAACUUCCAACUCUGCCACCUGUGCACACAUUUUUCAACCAAUGGUUUCCACUGGAAGAUCUCCCAGAAAGGGAUCAUAUAAUGAGUACAUGGAGGACUGCAUCUGUAAACUACACAAACUAUACCCCAGAUAGCAUUAAGUGAAGUUUGAAAAUGGAACUCUGCCUCUAUGCACAUUAACAAAAGACUGAUGAAAACAUAACUAUAAUGUAACUGUAUGUGCACAACUUGUUUAAUAAAGUUAUUAUUUUAAUUGGCA
Schistocerca americana (American grasshopper) is the source of this 1399-nucleotide long non-coding RNA. RefSeq lists it as uncharacterized. The record is from RefSeq and is a predicted model, not a curated record. Lineage: Eukaryota; Metazoa; Arthropoda; Insecta; Orthoptera; Acrididae. The transcript is spliced from 3 exons.